RNAcentral lists this ribosomal RNA (652 nucleotides) under uncultured bacterium. RNAcentral describes it as "bacterial SSU rRNA". It matches the Rfam family "Bacterial small subunit ribosomal RNA", at positions 67 to 751 of the family's 1533-position model. The record is from RNAcentral.
CGGCAGCACGGGAGUAAUCCUGGUGGCGAGUGGCGAACGGGUGAGUAAUAUAUCGGAACGUGCCCAAUCGUGGGGGAUAACGCAGCGAAAGCUGUGCUAAUACCGCAUAAGAUCUAUGGAUGAAAGCGGGGGAUCGCAAGACCUCGCGCGAAUGGAGCGGCCGAUAUCAGAUUAGCUAGUUGGUGGGGUAAAGGCUCACCAAGGCGACGAUCUGUAGCUGGUCUGAGAGGACGACCAGCCACACUGGAACUGAGACACGGUCCAGACUCCUACGGGAGGCAGCAGUGGGGAAUUUUGGACAAUGGGCGCAAGCCUGAUCCAGCAAUGCCGCGUGCAGGAUGAAGGCCUUCGGGUUGUAAACUGCUUCUGUACGGAGCGAAACGGUCAUCUCUAAUAAAGGUGGCUAAUGACGGUACCGUAAGAAUAAGCACCGGCUAACUACGUGCCAGCAGCCGCGGUAAUACGUAGGGUGCGAGCGUUAAUCGGAAUUACUGGGCGUAAAGCGUGCGCAGGCGGUUUUGUAAGACAGAUGUGAAAUCCCCGGGCUCAACCUGGGACCUGCAUUUGUGACUGCAAAGCUAGAGUACGGUAGAANAUAUGCGGANGAACNCCGAUGGCGAAGGCAUCCCCUGGACCUGUACUGACNCUCAUG